Heterocephalus glaber (naked mole-rat) is the source of this 893-nucleotide long non-coding RNA. NCBI's taxonomy places the organism in Eukaryota, Metazoa, Chordata, Mammalia, Rodentia, Bathyergidae. The record is from Ensembl.
CCCGGCCCUCACCCACGCGGAAGCCGGAGCCAGUGAGUGUGUCGGUGCUGUGGCCAUUCUCUCCGAUCAGCGUCAUGUUGGUGCCGUGGUGACAGCUGUCCCGACACUGGCCUUUGAGACAGGUCCGCUUGCAGUACACCGGCGCAAAGACCACCUUGAAGCGCUCGCGGGCUAGCGCCCCGCCCCCGCCGGCGCCCCGCUCGCCGGCCGGCCCCCCCUCGGCCCCGCCGCCCGGGCCCAGCAGAGGCAGCAGGAGCAGAAGCAGCAGCCCCACCGCCUCCGCCCGGCGCAUCGCAGGGGCCAGGCCGCCGGCGACCCCUCGGGGCCCGGGCAUCCGGGGCCGCGCGACCCCGGGAGGCGCGCCGGGCGGGGGCUAAGGGCCCGGCGCCCGCGGAGGUCGAGGGCCGGGAGCGCGGGCCAGGCGCGGAGAGGGCAGCGAGGCAGCGGAGCGAGAGGGGAGCGGGCAGGGAGGGGACGGCAGGCGCGCGCCGGGGCCCAGUGCGAGGCCGGAGAUGGAGGUGGACCGCGGGGAGCCCAGAAACUUCCCGGCCCGGAGAAGCUCAACCAGGCCCCGAACUGAGGCCAGGCCGAGGAGGCUGGAGCCAGUGGAGGCGGAGAGGAGGAGCGAGCGAGGGGAAGGCCGGGCGGCCAGCCCGCGGCGCGCCCCCCUGCCCGGCUGCUCUCCGGUGGCCGCCGGGAAGCAGGAGCGCGCGGGGAGGACGCAGGGAGAAUCAUCUGAACCUUCCCCUGGCUAGAGCAGGCAGCGGCUCACCUUGGAACACAGCUCAUAUAAUAAUCCUGGCUUGGAGGCUCAAUUUCUCUAAGCCUCAGUUUUCUCUCUUGUGAAAUGGGGUCUACUCAUUCACCACACACUGGGAACACACUCCAUGCUG